GCCCUCCUGAGGAGUCCCAUAAUAGGACGAAACGGCCGUCCAGUAC
This 46-nucleotide non-coding RNA is filed under the name Schistosoma margrebowiei. Lineage: Eukaryota; Metazoa; Platyhelminthes; Trematoda; Strigeidida; Schistosomatidae. The record is from RNAcentral.